This 498-nucleotide ribosomal RNA is filed under the name uncultured bacterium. RNAcentral describes it as "bacterial SSU rRNA". It matches the Rfam family "Bacterial small subunit ribosomal RNA", at positions 28 to 573 of the family's 1533-position model. The record is from RNAcentral.
AACGAACGCUGGCGGCAUGCCUAACACAUGCAAGUCGAACGAGACCUUCGGGUCUAGUGGCGCACGGGUGCGUAACGCGUGGGAAUCUGCCCUCAGGUACGGAAUAACUCAGGGAAACUUGAGCUAAUACCGUAUAAUGACUUCGGUCCAAAGAUUUAUCGCCUGGGGAUGAGCCCGCGUCGGAUUAGCUAGUUGGUGAGGUAAAGGCUCACCAAGGCGACGAUCCGUAGCUGGUCUGAGAGGAUGAUCAGCCACACUGGGACUGAGACACGGCCCAGACUCCUACGGGAGGCAGCAGUGGGGAAUAUUGGACAAUGGGCGCAAGCCUGAUCCAGCAAUGCCGCGUGAGUGAUGAAGGCCUUAGGGUUGUAAAGCUCUUUUACCCGGGGAGAUAAUGACUGUACCGGGAGAAUAAGCCCCGGCUAACUCCGUGCCAGCAGCCGCGGUAAUACGGAGGGGGCUAGCGUUGUUCGGAAUUACUGGCGUAAAGCGCACGUA